RNAcentral lists this ribosomal RNA (770 nucleotides) under Staphylococcus hominis. RNAcentral's name for it is "bacterial SSU rRNA". It matches the Rfam family "Bacterial small subunit ribosomal RNA", at positions 68 to 822 of the family's 1533-position model. The record is from RNAcentral. Lineage: Bacteria; Bacillati; Bacillota; Bacilli; Caryophanales; Staphylococcaceae.
CAGACGAGGAGCUUGCUCCUUUGACGUUAGCGGCGGACGGGUGAGUAACACGUGGGUAACCUACCUAUAAGACUGGGAUAACUUCGGGAAACCGGAGCUAAUACCGGAUAAUAUUUCGAACCGCAUGGUUCGAUAGUGAAAGAUGGCUCUGCUAUCACUUAUAGAUGGACCUGCGCCGUAUUAGCUAGUUGGUAAGGUAACGGCUUACCAAGGCAACGAUACGUAGCCGACCUGAGAGGGUGAUCGGCCACACUGGAACUGAGACACGGUCCAGACUCCUACGGGAGGCAGCAGUAGGGAAUCUUCCGCAAUGGGCGAAAGCCUGACGGAGCAACGCCGCGUGAGUGAUGAAGGUCUUCGGAUCGUAAAACUCUGUUAUUAGGGAAGAACAAACGUGUAAGUAACUGUGCACGUCUUGACGGUACCUAAUCAGAAAGCCACGGCUAACUACGUGCCAGCAGCCGCGGUAAUACGUAGGUGGCAAGCGUUAUCCGGAAUUAUUGGGCGUAAAGCGCGCGUAGGCGGUUUUUUAAGUCUGAUGUGAAAGCCCACGGCUCAACCGUGGAGGGUCAUUGGAAACUGGAAAACUUGAGUGCAGAAGAGGAAAGUGGAAUUCCAUGUGUAGCGGUGAAAUGCGCAGAGAUAUGGAGGAACACCAGUGGCGAAGGCGACUUUCUGGUCUGUAACUGACGCUGAUGUGCGAAAGCGUGGGGAUCAAACAGGAUUAGAUACCCUGGGUAGUCCACGCCGUAAACGAUGAGUGCUAAGUG